Limulus polyphemus (Atlantic horseshoe crab) is the source of this 352-nucleotide long non-coding RNA. RefSeq lists it as uncharacterized. Lineage: Eukaryota; Metazoa; Arthropoda; Merostomata; Xiphosura; Limulidae. The transcript is spliced from 3 exons. The record is from RefSeq and is a predicted model, not a curated record.
CUUUGGAAACAAUCUACACAUACAUGACACAUAGAAGUAUGUUUUAACAUGGUUUUUUACGUAACACGUGGUUAGGAAAACCGUUGAGUUGAUCGUGUUUCAAGUUACCUUUGCUUCGUUGUCGACUUCAAAGUUAGGUGAAAACUCUUACCGCCAGAGUUGAACAUUACUACAUGCCACCUUGUCUAAGAUUACGGCGUUGUCUUUCAAUGGUUGUACAGGUUUCAACAAGAAGAACAGGCGAUAAUUCUGUACCACAUUAAGAAUGGCAGAAGACGUCACUGCUUAUCCUCUGUAUCGAACGAACAUACUGAGUUUGUCGUACAACUCGUAAAGAGUGUUACAGUUUAUA